This 583-nucleotide ribosomal RNA is filed under the name uncultured bacterium. Its description in RNAcentral is "bacterial SSU rRNA". It matches the Rfam family "Bacterial small subunit ribosomal RNA", at positions 339 to 915 of the family's 1533-position model. The record is from RNAcentral.
CUACGGGAGGCAGCAGUGGGGAAUUUUGGACAAUGGGGGAAACCCUGAUCCAGCCAUCCCGCGUGUGCGAUGAAGGCCUUCGGGUUGUAAAGCACUUUUGGCAGGAAAGAAACGUCAUGGGUUAAUACCCUGUGAAACUGACGGUACCUGCAGAAUAAGCACCGGCUAACUACGUGCCAGCAGCCGCGGUAAUACGUAGGGUGCAAGCGUUAAUCGGAAUUACUGGGCGUAAAGCGUGCGCAGGCGGUUCGGAAAGAAAGAUGUGAAAUCCCAGAGCUUAACUUUGGAACUGCAUUUUUAACUACCGAGCUAGAGUGUGUCAGAGGGAGGUGGAAUUCCGCGUGUAGCAGUGAAAUGCGUAGAUAUGCGGAGGAACACCGAUGGCGAAGGCAGCCUCCUGGGAUAACACUGACGCUCAUGCACGAAAGCGUGGGGAGCAAACAGGAUUAGAUACCCUGGUAGUCCGCGCCCUAAACGAUGUCAACUAGCUGUUGGGGCCUUCGGGCCUUAGUAGCGCAGCUAACGCGUGAAGUUGACCGCCUGGGGAGUACGGUCGCAAGAUUAAAACUCAAAGGAAUUGACG